This 253-nucleotide ribosomal RNA is filed under the name uncultured bacterium. Its description in RNAcentral is "partial 16S ribosomal RNA". It matches the Rfam family "Bacterial small subunit ribosomal RNA", at positions 524 to 776 of the family's 1533-position model. The record is from RNAcentral.
GACAGAGGGUGCAAACGUUGUUCGGAUUUACUGGGCGUAAAGCGCGUGUAGGCGGCUUUGCAAGUCGGAUGUGAAAUCCCACGGCUCAACCGUGGAAGUGCAUCCGAAACUGCAUCGCUGGAGUCUCGGAGAGGAAGGUGGAAUGCUUGGUGUAGAGGUGAAAUUCGUAGAUAUCAAGCAGAACACCUGCGGCGAAGGCGGCCAACUGGUCCGGAACUGACGCUGAGGUGCGAAAGCGUGGGGAGCAAACAGG